This 498-nucleotide ribosomal RNA is filed under the name uncultured bacterium. Its description in RNAcentral is "partial 16S ribosomal RNA". It matches the Rfam family "Bacterial small subunit ribosomal RNA", at positions 30 to 523 of the family's 1533-position model. The record is from RNAcentral.
AUUGAACGCUGGCGGCAUGCCUUACACAUGCAAGUCGAACGGUAACAGGUCUUCGGAUGCUGACGAGUGGCGAACGGGUGAGUAAUACAUCGGAACGUGCCUAGUAGUGGGGGAUAACCACUCGAAAGAGUGGCUAAUACCGCAUGAGAUCUACGGAUGAAAGCAGGGGAUCGCAAGACCUUGUGCUACUAGAGCGGCCGGUGGCAGCUUAGGUAGUUGGUGGGAUAAAAGCUUACCAAGCCGACGAGCUGUAGCUGGUCUGAGAGGACGAUCAGCCACACUGGAACUGAGACACGGCCCAGACUCCUACGGGAGGCAGCAGUGGGGAAUUUUGGACAAUGGGCGAAAGCCUGAUCCAGCAAUGCCGCGUGCAGGAUGAAGGCCUUCGGGUUGUAAACUGCUUUUGUACGGAACGAAAAGCCCCGGGUUAAUACCCUGGGGUCAUGACGGUACCGUAAGAAUAAGCACCGGCUAACUACGUGCCAGCCGCCGCCGUAA